UUGAUACUAUUAGGCUUGAGUUAAGAAGAGGUAGGCAGAAUUUAUGGUGUAGUAGUGAAAUGCUUAGAUAUCAUAAGGAAUACCAAUAGCGUAGGCAGCUUACUGGUCUUUAACUGACGCUGAGGCACGAAAGCGUGGGGAGCAAACAGGAUUAGAUACCCUGGUAGUCCACGCCGUAAACGAUGAUCACUCGAUAUACAUGAUACUUCGUGUGUGUCUAAGCGAAAGCGUUAAGUGAUCCACCUGGGGAGUAUACUCGCAAGGGUGAAACUCAAAGGAAUUGACGGGGGUCCGCACAAGCGGUGGAGUAUGUGGUUUAAUUCGAUAAUACGCGAGGAACCUUACCUGGGCUAGAAUGUGUUUUGCUACCCCAAGAAAUUGGGGGUUCCCUCGGGACGGAAUACAAGGUGCUGCAUGGCUGUCGCCAGCUCGUGCCGUGAGGUGUUGGGUUAAGUCCUAUAACGAGCGAAACCCUUUUACUUAAUUGCCAGCACGUAAUGGUGGGGACUUUAAGUAGACUGCCCGUGUAAGCGGGAGGAAGGAGAGGACGAGGUCAAGUCAUCAUGGCCUUUAUGCCCAGGGCUACACACGUACUACAAUGGCAUGUACAAAGGGAAGCUACUUGGUAACAAGAUGCAAAUCUUAAAAGCAUGUCUCAGUUCGGAUUGAGGUCUGCAAUUCGACCUCAUGAAGUUGGAAUCGCUAGUAAUCGCGUAUCAGCAAUGACGCGGUUGAAUACGUUCUCGGACCUUGUACACACCGCCCAUCAAGCCAUG
RNAcentral lists this ribosomal RNA (776 nucleotides) under uncultured Candidatus Cardinium sp. Its description in RNAcentral is "bacterial SSU rRNA". It matches the Rfam family "Bacterial small subunit ribosomal RNA", at positions 627 to 1406 of the family's 1533-position model. The record is from RNAcentral. Lineage: Bacteria; Pseudomonadati; Bacteroidota; Cytophagia; Cytophagales; Amoebophilaceae.